GUUAAAUUUUGCAGUUUGGAUGCUUAUAUUGGUGAACUGCCUAGCUGUGUUUACACUGAGUUUAUUAAAUUGAAACCAUUGCUUCAUCCAAAUAUGACCACUUCCAUACUAUAAAAUGUGAUGGACUGAGGACUGGCACAAGAUCCAUGUUUUGCCACCUACAAGUAUUACACUACCAACCACAUUUGCAUCCCAGCAGAAACAAAUGUGACUUGUCAGGAUGGAUUCAGUUACUUGAAAUUUGAUAAAUACUGCAAACUAUGGACGUACAGAUAAAACCACCUGCUCUAAACGACGUCCAUUCGAACAGCUCCAAAACACCAACUGCUCUUCACCCAAUGCACUGGCUCCUGUGUCCAAAAGCUGCAAUGGUCUGGAAAGUUGUGAGGUGUUUGCGACACAUACAGUCUUUACUGAUCGCUGCAUUGGCACAUACAAGUACCUCGCGAUCUCUUAUUUUUGUAGCCUACCUGCAGUUCGCGAGUGUCCGUUAACCUCUCUACUUCCUACUCAUUUCUGUUCAGGAAGUGUUUAGAACAGGGGUCUCCAAACUCUGUCCUGGAGGGCCGGUGUCCUGCAGUGUUUAACUCAAACUUGCCUCAGCACACCAGCCUGGAAGUUUCUAGUAUGCCUAGUAAGAGCUUGAUUAGCUGGUUCAGGUGUGUUUAACUGGGGUUGGAGCUGAAUUCUGCAGGACUCUUAUAGUACACACAAGCCUGUUUUAUUUGAAAGAUUACAGUGUUCACUUUUCUAAACUGUUCUUGCAUCCUCUGUGUUUUUGUAGGUUCAAGUGUGAUCUGUAAACAUGCAAAUAAUACUCUGUGUGGUGUGUAUUAUGCUACAUGAGCACUGCUUAUUUUUCUUUGAGAAAGUAGUAUUACUGUGUUUAUAGCAAAAUUGUAGAGGCUGAUAUUGUGGAUUUGACGAC
Molecule: long non-coding RNA, 928 nt
Organism: Cyprinus carpio carpio
Lineage: Eukaryota; Metazoa; Chordata; Actinopteri; Cypriniformes; Cyprinidae
Source: Ensembl